CCUACGGGUGGCAGCAGUGGGGAAUAUUGCACAAUGGGGGGAACCUUGAUGCAGCAACGCCGCGUGGGGGAAGAAGUACUCCGGUAUGUAAAGCCCUGUCAGCAGGGAAGAACAGGACGGUACCUGACCAAGAAGCCCCGGCUAACUACGGGCCAGCAGCCGCGGUAAUACGUAGGGGGCAAGCGUUAGCCGGAUUGACGGGGUGUAGAGGUAGCGUAGACGGCAAGGCAAGUCUGGAGUGAAAGCCCGUGGCCCAACCACGGGACUGCUUUGGAAAGUGUGUUGCUGUAGUGCAGGAGGGGUAAGCGGAAUGCCUAGUGUAGCGGUGAAAUGCGUAGAUAUUAGGAGGAACACCGGUGGCGAAGGCGGCUUACUGGACUGUAACUGACGUUGAGGCUCGAAGGCGUGGGGAGCAAACAGGAUUAGAUACCCUAGUAGUC
This 440-nucleotide ribosomal RNA is filed under the name uncultured bacterium. RNAcentral describes it as "partial 16S ribosomal RNA". It matches the Rfam family "Bacterial small subunit ribosomal RNA", at positions 338 to 795 of the family's 1533-position model. The record is from RNAcentral.